Molecule: long non-coding RNA, 755 nt
Organism: Helianthus annuus (common sunflower)
Lineage: Eukaryota; Viridiplantae; Streptophyta; Magnoliopsida; Asterales; Asteraceae
Exons: 2
Source: RefSeq, a predicted model, not a curated record
GAUGAAACCACAAGAUCUCCACAUCUCUAUAAGAUACCCAUAUCCUCCCCCUAUUCUUCAAAUGUGCAGGCAACAAUAACCGCACCCAACUGUCCGCUCUCAUCUCCCUCCUUCUACAUAUGAAAACCCUAGUUCCAUAGACACAAACAAAUCACCAGACAUCUUCAUCCCCUUCAAAUGGAACCCUAAUACACUCAAAUGAGAACUAAAACAUCAUCAUCCUCACUGAAAUACACACACCAAACAAACCUCUCCACUCCCUCGUUUCCUCUCUCUCCCUCCAACGAAGACACACGGCCGGCUGCCGGUCGUAUUACCGGCGGCGGUUGUUCCAGCCGACGACAGCACCCCCCCUUCGAUCCAGAAACGGACCGCCAUCACCACCACCGUCCGGUGGUGACGCGACUACAAGACAGGAGAGAGAGAGACCAAGACAGGAGAGAGAGAGAGAGACUGAGACAAGGAGAGAGAGACCGAGAAAAAAGAGAAUUGGAGAAGAAGCGGCACCGCCGCUAACGGCGGUGGCAGGGGUGGCGGCGACGUUGGAGUAGACAGCGGUGUUGCUUUGUCAACAGAUUUUUCCGAUGGGUUCGGGUUUUCAGGUUCAGUCUCGUCUCAGAUCGGGUUCGGUUAAGCUCAGUGGAGGUUCGGGUCAGACUCGGCUCGGUACGAGUCAACUCAGUCAUCAGAAGCCGAUCAACUCAGUCGGUUGGGGUCAGCCGGUUCGGGUCAAGCGGCUAGAUCAAGACGGUUCG